UUAUGGCCAUAUCACGCUGAAACAUUGGUUCCCGUGCGGUCACUGAAGUUAAGCAACGUCGGGCCUGGUUAGUAUCUAGAUAAGUGACCACUUGGGAAUACCAGGUGCUGGAA
Acanthosepion pharaonis is the source of this 113-nucleotide non-coding RNA. Lineage: Eukaryota; Metazoa; Mollusca; Cephalopoda; Sepiida; Sepiidae. The record is from the annotation of a GenBank genome assembly.